AUACUCACCUGUCAGGGGAGACACCAUGAUCACGAAGCUUAUCUUCUCUGGGCAAGGCUUAUCUGUUGCAUUCCACAUAUGCUGACCCCUUUGCUUUGCCGAAAUGUAGGAAAUCUGGUUACAUUGUUUGUGGUCGUGGUGGUGGGGGGAUAUCCCUUAGCUCCC
RNAcentral lists this small nuclear RNA (165 nucleotides) under Ochotona princeps (American pika). RNAcentral's name for it is "U1 spliceosomal RNA (ENSOPRG00000017765.1)". It matches the Rfam family "U1 spliceosomal RNA". Rfam says of the family: U1 is a small nuclear RNA (snRNA) component of the spliceosome (involved in pre-mRNA splicing). Its 5' end forms complementary base pairs with the 5' splice junction, thus defining the 5' donor site of an intron. There are significant differences in sequence and secondary structure between metazoan and yeast U1 snRNAs, the latter being much longer (568 nucleotides as compared to 164 nucleotides in human). Lineage: Eukaryota; Metazoa; Chordata; Mammalia; Lagomorpha; Ochotonidae. The record is from RNAcentral.